UGGGGAAUCUUGCACAAUGGGCGAAAGCCUGAUGCAGCAACGCCGCGUGAGCGAUGAAGGCCUUUGGGUCGUAAAGCUCUGUCCUUGGGGAAGAACAAAAUGACGGUACCCUUGGAGGCAGCCCCGGCUAACUACGUGCCAGCAGCCGCGGUAAUACGUAGGGGGCGAGCGUUAUCCGGCAUUAUUGGGCGUAAAGAGUGCGUAGGUGGUCUUGGAAGCGGGGGGUGAAAGGCAUCGGCUUAACCGAUGUUAGCCCCCCGAACUGUGAGACUUGAGUACAGGAGAGGAAAGCGUAAUUCCUAGUGUAGCGGUGAAAUUCGUAGAUAUUAGGAGGAACACCAGUGGCGAAGGCGGCUUUCUGGACUGAAACUGACACUGAGGCACGAAAGCGUGGGGAGCAAACA
This 404-nucleotide ribosomal RNA is filed under the name uncultured prokaryote. RNAcentral's name for it is "bacterial SSU rRNA". It matches the Rfam family "Bacterial small subunit ribosomal RNA", at positions 355 to 774 of the family's 1533-position model. The record is from RNAcentral.